CGCCUGUUUUUCAAAAACAUCGCCUCUUGUACCCCAAUAAGAGGUCCAGCCUGCCCAGUGACCCUGUUUAACGGCCGCGGUAUCCUAACCGUGCGAAGGUAGCGUAAUCACUUGUUCUUUAAAUAAGGACUAGUAUGAAUGGCAUCACGAAGGUUAUACUGUCUCCUUUCUCUAAUCAGUGAAACUAAUCUCCCCGUGAAGAAGCGAGGAUAUACAUAUAAGACGAGAAGACCCUAUGGAGCUUUAAACUUUGAUCAACCGCCACUGACUUUGCUAAUUUCAGAAAAUCAAAUUUAAACCCAACACCCUUGAUUUAAAGUUUUCGGUUGGGGUGACCACGGAGUAAAAUUUAACCUCCGCGCUGAAAGGACUUAAAACCUUAGCUAAGAGCUACGACUCUACGCAUCAACAACUUGACACUAAUUGACCCAAUAUAUUGACCAACGAACCAAGUUACCCUAGGGAUAACAGCGCAAUCCACUCCAAGAGCCCCUAUCGACGAGCGGGUUUACGACCUCGAUGUUGGAUCAGGGUAUCCCAGUGGUGUA
RNAcentral lists this ribosomal RNA (548 nucleotides) under Crossodactylodes bokermanni (Bokermann's stream froglet). Its description in RNAcentral is "partial 16S ribosomal RNA". It matches the Rfam family "Bacterial large subunit ribosomal RNA", at positions 1797 to 2557 of the family's 2925-position model. Lineage: Eukaryota; Metazoa; Chordata; Amphibia; Anura; Leptodactylidae. The record is from RNAcentral.